RNAcentral lists this long non-coding RNA (596 nucleotides) under Physcomitrium patens. RNAcentral describes it as "long non-coding RNA (PPAT_LNC000726)". The record is from RNAcentral. Lineage: Eukaryota; Viridiplantae; Streptophyta; Bryopsida; Funariales; Funariaceae.
UAAAUACUUUGCCAAAAUUAGAUUUUUUCUUCCUGGUUUGGGAAUUUAAAACUUGUUGCACAUAUUUAGGAAAUAUAUAUAUAUAUAUAUAUAGCUGAAUCCAUGUCAUUGUCACAGAAAGUGUGACUCUGUUUUUUUAAUUUCUAGACGACUCGGUUUCCAUUACAGAUAAAUAUGCUAUUCAAUAUUCUUAGUAUAUUUUUAGAAAGAAAGAGAACUCAAAUAAUGUACUUUUAAAUUAAACAAAAAUGUAAGGAAUGCAAGUAUUGUAUAUGCAUGUAUAUGAUAUUAUUACUUUGGAAACAAUAAAAAAAAAUGUUUUGAUGUUGUUUGUCUUGUUUUAAAUAUAAUUUAAUUGAUUUUAUGGAUCUUUUAAUAAGUAUUCAUAUUUCAAUCAAUUUUUUCAAAAUCCCUACAUCAUUGUUAUCCAUUUCUAAGCUAAAGGUUAUGACUUCAACAUAUCAAAUACAUUGUUUUUUUUUUUUUUUUCAUUUUGUAAGGCUAAUUUAUCUUAUAGUUCUAAAAAGUAAAAAUUUAAUUCUUUAGUGAAUAGAUAAAAGUAGAUGAUAUUAAUGAUACUAUUACAUAAAUACAAA